This 81-nucleotide transfer RNA is filed under the name Malus coronaria. RNAcentral's name for it is "tRNA-Asn". RNAcentral also lists the same sequence under 1 other name. Lineage: Eukaryota; Viridiplantae; Streptophyta; Magnoliopsida; Rosales; Rosaceae. The record is from RNAcentral.
AUCCUACCUGGGGAGAUUUGAUUCAUUCCGAAUUCUUUAAUUCGGAAUGUUCGGAAUGAAAGGGUUCGCUUUGACCGUUAA